RNAcentral lists this long non-coding RNA (446 nucleotides) under Brassica rapa (field mustard). RNAcentral's name for it is "long non-coding RNA (BRAP_LNC001284)". Lineage: Eukaryota; Viridiplantae; Streptophyta; Magnoliopsida; Brassicales; Brassicaceae. The record is from RNAcentral.
AUAAGUUAGGAUUAUUUAUGAAAUAUAUUGUUAAUAAAAUUAUAUUUUAAAUAUAAAAAGGAGAAUAUCUCGGGAGUAGUUUACACUAAUGAUUUAAUUAACAAAUCUUGUCCUUAAAGUUUAAAUAUUAAAGCAUGAGAUUGGGAAAUAAGAUAUUAUUUCAGUAGAGAAAAUACCAUCCUACUAUAGAUAUUUUAAAAAUAUAAUUGAUUAUCCAAUUUUGAUGUACAGUAGAGAAAAUAUCAUUCUAAGUGCACAUCUUUUGCAGGAUCGGAAUGGUAAACUCUUAUAGGUCUGAAAUAUGACCACUUCUCUCAAAUCAUCUCUGAAAAAAUAUAAAACAAAAUCACAAUCAGCAAACCAAAAAACAAAUAUGUGUAUAUAUAAGCCUAUAAUUCUAAACAAUAAUAUAAAUCUACAAAUCAAAAAAAAGAAAAAUAUUUGCA